RNAcentral lists this long non-coding RNA (632 nucleotides) under Marmota monax (woodchuck). Lineage: Eukaryota; Metazoa; Chordata; Mammalia; Rodentia; Sciuridae. The record is from RNAcentral.
UGACUGCGNUGCCACCCCAGAUAGAUAUAACAGUUUCUAGCAGGUUUAACGCUUUCAGUGACAUAAUGGUACGUUAAUGUUUAAAGGGUUUGAUAUAAAUUUUUUGAACUCUGGAAGGAAGUUUUUGUUACUUCUCUGCUCAAAACUGAGUAUUUGCUCCCCAUCUUAUGCAUAGUAAAAGCCAAAGACUCAUUAAUAGUUUCCAAGGCCCUACAGGAACUGGUUGUACCAUGUCCUACCCUCUGAUAAUCUGCCCUCACUUUUUGGCUCCAUCUCCCAUUGCUCUCUCCAUCCCUCCUUUGAUGUUUAACUGUUCACCUCAGGGCCUUUGCAUUUGCCAUUCCAUUUGCUUGAAAUACUUUUCACUCAGACACCCACAUGAGACUCUGUUACCUGCUUUGGACAAAUAUCUCAACGAGGCUUUCCCAGUUAUGGUUUUGAUUCUUUUAAAUGUUUUUAUACUUAAUUCUAGAUCUUUCCUGUCUUAGUCCAUUUGUGCAGCUACAAUAAGAUGCCUGAGUCUAGGUAAUUUAUAAGGAAGAGAAAUUUAUUACUUAACAGCUGUGGAUGCCCAGAAGUUCAAGAUCAAGGCCCUUGGCAGUGCUAUCUGUGUCAGGUGAAGACUGCCCUCU